CAGCAGCCACGGGAAUACGUAGGGUGCAAGCGUUAAUCGGAAUUACUGGGCGUAAAGCGUGCGCAGGCGGUUUGUUAAGACAGAUGUGAAAUCCCCGGGCUCAACCUGGGAACUGCAUUUGUGACUGGCAAGCUAGAGUGUGGCAGAGGGGGGUAGAAUUCCACGUGUAGCAGUGAAAUGCGUAGAUAUGUGGAGGAAUACCGAUGGCGAAGGCAGCCCCCUGGGAUAACACUGACGCUCAUGCACGAAAGCGUGGGGAGCAAACAGGAUUAGAUACCCCUGUAGUCCCUGUCUCUUAUAA
This 301-nucleotide ribosomal RNA is filed under the name uncultured bacterium. Its description in RNAcentral is "partial 16S ribosomal RNA". It matches the Rfam family "Bacterial small subunit ribosomal RNA", at positions 509 to 809 of the family's 1533-position model. The record is from RNAcentral.